UCACAGCAUUUAUGACUAUUUGAAAUUAUAUUCCUUUACUUGUUUUGGUUAUCUUCCUUCUUAGAAUGUAAACUUUUAGACAAAAGUGGGCAUUUUGUUCUGUUCAAUGUAGCAUCCUCGCAUGAAGAACCGUAUCUGGUACAUAGUAAGUGCUCAACAAAUAUGUAUUGAUUGAAUGAAUCCAUCACAUCAGGCUUCUUGUUUAGUCUUUUUGUUUUUUUGUUGUUGUUAAAGAUUUUAUUUUAUUCAUGAGGAUACACAGAGAGGAGAGAGAGAGAGAGAGAGAGAGAGAGAGAGAGGGAGAGAGGCAGAGACACAGGCAGAAGGGAAGAGAUGAAGUAACCCUUCAGGAUCUACUAGAGAAAGACUAUUGGAAAUCCUAUAGGAGCUGCUGCCACCAAUGCACAAUUUUUGUUAAUUACCUCAAUUGUGGCUGUUAUCCCCUUAAUGAGAAACACAACUUUACUUCUAAGCAGGCAGUGAGGCUGGCAGAAAGCUGAAACCUGAAAAUCAGCAGAUACAGGGCUGCAUACAGACCUUACUAUUGAAAUUAAGCCACAUCCAAAACACAGGGGUAGGACUCCAAAUAGCUUCAGACAGCAGCCAGCCAUGCAGGGCCCUCACCAGGCACCGGAUGGACGCUCUCUGGACUCGUCAAGAGGCCCAGAUCCCAAGUGCUCAUUUCAAUAACAUAAGAAAAUAAACAUGGGGCUUAUUUAUAGCACAGGAAAGGGACUGGGGCAAAAGAACCACUCAUUUGGUAAUCCACCCUGACGGGGCCAGAUAGGAUCCAGACCCCCAGGCUCUCUGGUAACAGGGUGAGCAGAAAUAGGGGCCGGAAAAGGGCCGGCUGCCAGCAUCACCAGGUAUAACCUUGUAAAGGCCUUGGUUAAGAGAAGGGGAAAAGAUCUCAUACAUCAUUCCAUCUUACCAUACCAGGCCUAAGUGCUCUUGCUACCUUGUUUCUGGUUGAAGAAAUGAAGGGACAGGAGUGGACUCUCUCAAGGCCAAGGGAGUCUGAGUUCAAGGGAAGGUGCUAUGAGAAGAGGAAAUGAAAAUAUCCUUGUAUCCUCCAGGGACCAGAGAAGAUGGUGUUAACAGUCUUCAUUUACAGCUAGGAUAAAACGUAUGUGUCGAGUCCCAGGCCACUGACCGGCUCCCACCAUCUUACACACCUCAAGAACUCCCGCCAGAAUUGGAGCGCCUGGAACUCAGAACAGUAUCUUAUUCAACUCUCUAUUUCCUAGACCUGGCACAGAGUCUAGCAAAAAGUGUAUUUUGAUGAAUGAAUGAUUAGAAAACCCUAAUGACUGAAUAAAUGCUCUCUUAUCCCACCUGGGUCAGUAACUAGCCAGUUGUCCUUCAGUUGGCAUUGCCAGAAAGUGAGAUGCUCCUUGAGUUUAUUCUUGGGCAUAAUUUCUAGUGAUAUAAGUUGGUGGCUAUAAAUAAAAGCCCACGUAGACAUAUUCUGAAGGGAAGACUCUUAUGGUGGCUUCCAUAGGAAAACCCUCUAUACAGAGUGGCUGGUGGUUUGGGGCUAAGACAUAUGGAUUCCAGUCCCUGCUCUGUUGGCAGCUCUCACCCCAUGUGCAGCUCCUGAGAGGUUGCAGACAAGAUGGAGCUUUGCUGAGAAGCCUCUAGUAGACACAGCUGCCCGAGAGCUCUCAAGAGCCACGCAAGCAUCCUUCCCCUUCCUCCUCUUCUGCCUGACAGCUCUGUACCCUUUAGGGGGACCGGGAAGAAAUGCAACCAGGGGCCCAACCAGUGGGGAGUAGAAAAAAAAAAAGAAAAAACUACCCUGGAAAGGUUGUAAAUUUGUGGAAGCAAAAUACCAGACACAGAUGCUUGGUGACUCAACUGUUUCUUGAGAAUGAAAGAGGCCUGGAAAGUUGGGAGGGAGGGAGGAGGGGGAGGAGGGAGGGAGGGAGGGAGGGAGGGCCCCCCCCCCCCCCCCCCCCCCCCCCCGUCCUGUGUCGGCAGCAGUGGUGAGCCUGAAAUGAAAAAGCCAUGGCACAAAGGUACCUGUGCAGACCCACAGCCCUCCCUGGGAACCUGGAAGUCACAAAGCCUGAGGCUGAAAUCCCUGACAAGUCCAUCCAACUUUGACAAAGGUGGAUGAGAGGCUGUGGGCUGAAUUUAGAAUGUUCCCGCCAUAAAGGAAGGCGAAACCUUAAAACUGAGAGGACAGUCCUGCCUAACUUUGCUCCACCAGGAGGUCGAUGAAGCCUGUUCACAGAUUAUCAGGCCGUGCUUGGUUGGUUGGCACAACGGAGCCACAAGCUGUACCCGAUUUUACUCAGACACAGGAAAUGGUGGGUAUCUAAGCCCUGGAACAGGAGCCCCAGAGCUUAGAACUGAGCAGGGCUGAGGUGAGUAGACCAGCCCCUCGGUUUCAUUUGCCUGCAGGCCCUGCAGUGGAAAGCUCAAGUUGCUUCCAGAGUCUUCCUGGAUGGCAGCUGCCUGCCAAUACAGUGAGCACUCCUGCCAGAACACCUCCUCAGGAAAUGGCCGAAGAGGCUUCGGGCCAGUUUUGCACUCUGUCCCCGCCUCUCUGUGCCAGGGCUGCUUGGGGAGCAGCCUGCUGCAGCUGCUUCUGCUGCAACAGGCUACCUGGGCCACAAGAGACGGGAAAGGGAGCCUACCCCAAAAGAAGCUAACAGCCCCAGAGCAAGGGGGACCCAUCAGGCUCAGGAUGGGUGGCUGAUGGGAGACCUCCAAUAGCCCAAACCUCUCCCUCCCAGCUGGGCUCCCAUGGGACCCUCUGACUGGCCAGCCAUGAAGUGUCACCAGACUUGAGCCACUUUCCAAGUGGCCUCUGCCUUCAGCUACCUCUUAAUUCUACUGUCAAAGGGUCUUGAAUGUUACCCCAGCAAUCACAACUUUAGAAUCUGUGGCUAGGAACCUGUACCUCUCAGUGGUAGGAACAUUCCUGCCAGAGACCAUCCCAGGAGCUGCUGGGGGCACACAAUUAUUAGUGGCUCCUUCGGCAAAUGACAGUGAAGAGGCAGCUUGCCCUUUCCGGCUCCCAGUCCUGGUCAGCACACACCAGUAUGAUGCUCACUCCCUUUCAAAGACAGCGGAGAAACUAGCCCCCAAAACCACAAGUUGGCAGCACAGUUGGAAGUACAUAAGGCCUUGGCAGAGAAGCCAGGUAGUCGGAGUCUUGAACUUCAUGACACUGAGUAUGGAGAAGAGACAGUAUCGUAUCGCAUCAUUUGCAGGAAAGAACCAGAGGUUCUGAGAACAGAAGUUGUUAUUUUCCUCUAAUUUUCCUUGAGAAGGAGGUUCUUGCCUAAACACGUGUAAGGCUUGCUAAAUACACGAGAUAAGAAUAUUAAGAACUAUGUGAUGGUAACCAGUGAAAAAGUGUUUCCAACCUGCAUUCCAAGCUGGCUCAUCCCAAUUAGGUCCCUGGGGGCAAAGGCAAGUGACUCAGUGCACAUUUGGGCCAGGGCCAGGGCCAGCUCAGGUUCAUCUUCUGUACAGGCCAGCAGGAUGCAAUUUCUUAAAAAAGAUUUCUUAAUCUAAAACCAGCUGUUGUCUGUUGUAGGCCAGAACAUGACAUUUUAAUUAGCAUUAUUGUUCCGCUUCUGAAACCAGGCUCUAUGGCAUCCCAAGGGCAGAUGAUCCCAGCCCAAGCUUAUGGGUGAGGCUUGCUGGUGAGCAGCUUAGAAAUACAGAGAAGGGCGUGGAGUCCCCAGCCCCCUCGGAAUCCAUGAAUCAUGACUGCUUGCUAUAUUCCUGCCCUGAAUUUCUCCUUGUGACCUGCACCACCUGUCUGUCCAUAGGUAGAAACUUUGAGGUUUCAAGUGCCUGGGAUACAAAUACUCAUUCCAUACUGCAAGUCGUUUCAUGCUAUGUUGCUGGAUCUAAUCUGCAAUACUUCUGGGGGUUGUGAGGCGCCUUACAUGGAGUUUUAAUGCCCUGAGAAGUCCAGUGACUCCUAAGAAGGUGACAAAGUCCUACUAACACAGCUACCAGGGGCUCCCAAUCAUCUUGGAUUGAAGUGUUCCUCUUCCAAAACCAAAGGGCUAACAGAGUUUUUAAAAAAGAAAAGAGAAAGAAAACAUUUGUCCUCAGAGAGGGAAACCUGGAUUACACACCAGCCACUAAGGCAGUGGAUUCAGUGACGUGAAUAAGAGCAGAAAAUCUCAGGGGGUGAGGCUGAGGGGACGACACGCAUACAACGUUGGCACCGUUCUCAGCUGCCAGCAGGGAUUUAAAUGUGAGGACCAACCCCACCACCCACCCUGAAUCUUGGAAAACAAGCUAGGGAAGGAGGGCAGUACUCACUGUCUGUGACAACAGAAAGCCCCUUCUCUUGGUUUCUAUCCUACCACCCCCAGGAUUAUGACUAUGAGACUCAGUGCCUUCCCGUGUCCCCUCCUGGCCAGAAUAUAAUUAUUCAAAUCAACAGUAUUUAUUGGGCACCAGUGUUUGAAUGCAGCACGGUGGACAUAUCACAGCUUCCGUGUCCACACCUACAGCCUCGACGGGGAGAUGGCAUUUCGUCCUUUCUAACACAACAGUCCAAUGUUCUCACAUCUCAUUGUGAGAGAAGAUGAAACUCUCAUGAUUCCUGUUUUUCAAUUCUGCUACUUCUUAAAGUUUGUUUUGACCUCUCAAAGUCUAUGGGAACACGUCUGAAGUGACUCUUGUUAAAACUACGAGUUUAAAAUCUAUAGCAUAGUAACUAUUCACCUUCGUGUCACUCGAGAACAAUGGGUGGUGUAUUAGUGACUUCGACUGGCACACAGCUAGGUUUCAGUAAUUAUAACCAUAUUCCAAGCAAAUUGUUAUGUAUUUUGUGUUCUGGGGACAUAUGUUAUGGCUAAAGCCCAAACUGUGGCUAAUCUUAAUAUUAGAGCCAGAUAAAUCUGGUUCGAAUCCAUAACAUCUAACAUUUGCCAGAGUAGAUUUGUUCAUCAACGGGGCUUAAAGAGGUAUAAUUCACACAUGUGCAGUAUUACUAAAUGCUGAAAUUUAACGAUUUAAAUAUACCGGCAACUAUUGCAAAGCAGUUGUUAUAGUCGCAUUUAACAUUAGCCAGAACCUCCCUGGCUAACAUUAAGUUUACAUCGAAAGAAUGAGGGAAAUUUUGGCAUCCCCUUGGGGUGGGGGUCACAACUCCCUCGACAUUUACAACAUGGCACCAGCUAGAGCAUCAGAGUAUGGCUAGUAGAGGCCCUGUGCUUUCCCAGAGAACACCUAUAAAAAAAUCCAUUCAUCUAAUCAAGAAGCAAACAGAUUCCCUUGGAGGUUUUCGAAGACAUCUUCUCUUAGAAUGUUUAUGGUUUGGGGAUGUUCUACUUGAUGCACAUGACACCAGAUAUUUAUCCUGGCUCCAUAUCCUCCCAGACACGGACGGUAGACUGGAAUUAACCAGAAGAUGGAGGUAAAUAUAUUAAAAAAAAAAAAAAAAAAGAAAGAAAGAAAAAAAGAAAAAAAA
RNAcentral lists this long non-coding RNA (5449 nucleotides) under Canis lupus familiaris (dog). RNAcentral's name for it is "lncRNA (ENSCAFG00000054873.1)". Lineage: Eukaryota; Metazoa; Chordata; Mammalia; Carnivora; Canidae. The record is from RNAcentral.